This 552-nucleotide ribosomal RNA is filed under the name Rhodosporidiobolus lusitaniae. RNAcentral describes it as "eukaryotic LSU rRNA". It matches the Rfam family "Eukaryotic large subunit ribosomal RNA", at positions 99 to 648 of the family's 3401-position model. The record is from RNAcentral. Lineage: Eukaryota; Fungi; Basidiomycota; Microbotryomycetes; Sporidiobolales; Sporidiobolaceae.
CGGGAAGAGCUCAAAUUUGUAAUCUGGCGCUUUCAGCGUCCGAGUUGUAAUCUCUAGAAGUGUUUUCCGCGUUGGACCGCACACAAGUCUGUUGGAAUACAGCGGCACAGUGGUGAGACCCCCGUUCAUGGUGCGGAUGCCCAAUGCUUUGUGAUACACUUUCGAAGAGUCGAGUUGUUUGGGAAUGCAGCUCAAAUUGGGUGGUAAAUUCCAUCUAAAGCUAAAUAUUGGCGAGAGACCGAUAGCGAACAAGUACCGUGAGGGAAAGAUGAAAAGCACUUUGGAAAGAGAGUUAACAGUACGUGAAAUUGUUGGAAGGGAAACGCUUGAAGUCAGACUUGCUGUUCGGAGUUCAGCCGCAAGGUGUACUCUCCGAGUUGCAGGCCAGCAUCAGUUUUCUGGGGUGGAAAAUCACGGUUUGAAGGUAGCAGUUUCGGCUGUGUUAUAGCUUUCCGUAGGAUACACCCUGGGGGACUGAGGAACGCAGUGUGCUUUUAGCGGGGGUUUCGACCUCUUCACACUUAGGAUGCUGGUGGAAUGGCUUUAAACGAC